ACUCCGGCAUGCCUCAGUAGCGGCGAGUGAGCGGCAAGAGCUCAGAUUUGAAAUCGCAGCACCAUGCUGCGAGUUGUAGAUUGCAGGUGGGAGAGUCUGCGUAGGCCGGUGUCGAAGUCCCUUGGAACAGGGCGCCACUGAGGGUGAGAGCCCCGUGCGAUGCCACGCUCUACGUUUUGUACUCCCCUCUGACGAGUCGAGUUGUUUGGGAAUGCAGCUCUAAGUGGGUGGUAAAUUCCAUCUAAGGCUAAAUACUGGCGAGAGACCGAUAGCGAACAAGUACUGUGAAGGAAAGAUGAAAAGCACUUUGAAAAGAGAGUGAAACAGCACGUGAAAUUGUUGAAAGGGAAGGGUAUUGGGCCCGACAUGGGAAUCGCGCACCGCUGCUCCUUGUGGGCGGCGCUCUGGGCUUUUCCUGGGCCAGCAUCGGUUCUUGCUGCAGGAGAAGGGGCUGUGGAAUGUGGCUGCCGCGCUUUGCCGGGGCAGUGUUAUAGCCACUGGGCCAGAUGCUGCGUGUGGGGACCGAGGACUGCGGCCGCAAGGUCUCGGAUGCUGGCACAACGGCGCAAUACCGCCCGUCUUGAA
This 585-nucleotide ribosomal RNA is filed under the name Pichia inconspicua. Its description in RNAcentral is "eukaryotic LSU rRNA". It matches the Rfam family "Eukaryotic large subunit ribosomal RNA", at positions 67 to 658 of the family's 3401-position model. Lineage: Eukaryota; Fungi; Ascomycota; Pichiomycetes; Pichiales; Pichiaceae. The record is from RNAcentral.